RNAcentral lists this ribosomal RNA (1388 nucleotides) under Aphodius pedellus. Its description in RNAcentral is "16S ribosomal RNA". The stretch from base 686 to 1388 matches the Rfam family "Archaeal large subunit ribosomal RNA", at positions 1423 to 2813 of the family's 2987-position model. The record is from RNAcentral. Lineage: Eukaryota; Metazoa; Arthropoda; Insecta; Coleoptera; Scarabaeidae.
CAAAUUAGAGCUUAGUAAGCAUUUUAUUUACAUUAAAAAGUUAAUUGUUAAAAUCAAUUUAGUUUGAAUUUAAUAAUUUAUAUUAUUUAAAAGUUAGUUUUAAGAUUUAAUAAAAGUAUUUUAUUUUUUUUUAAUUUUAUUGAUAAAAUUAAAUAUAAUUAUAGAUUAUUAGUAUAGUGAUAGAAAAUUGAAAUAAUUUGAAAAUUUAAAUAUUUAUAAGAAAAAAUAAUUUUUUGUACCUUGUGUAUCAGGGUUUAUUAAUUAAUAGUUAUAAAUAAUAAUUUUCUCGAAUUUUAAAGAGUUAAAAAGCUAUAAAUUUUAUUGUGAAAUAAAUAUUUAGGAUAGUUUUUUAGUAAUGAAACGUUAGUCGUUUUUGAGGAUAUCUAGUUUUUUGAGAAAUAAAUUUAAUUUAGUUAAUUAUUUUAAUUUAAUUUUAUUAAUAUAAUAUUAUUAAAUAAUUAAUUAAUAUUUUAAGGGUUAAGCUUUAAAAUAAAAUUUUAUAAAUUUUAAUUUAGAAAAGGUAUAUUAUUUAGAAUUAAAAGUUUUUAUAAUUUAAUGUGUUAUAACUAAGUUUAUCUUAAUUUAGAUUUUUAUUAAUUUUAAGUUUUUUAUCAAAAUAAUUUAAUUAAUAUUAUAUUAUAUGUAAUAAUGAUAAAAUUAGUAUAAUUUUAUGUAAUUUUAAUUUUAAAGUUAAGGUUAAAUUAAGGAACUCGGCAAAUAAAUUUUUCGCCUGUUUAUUAAAAACAUGUCUUUUUGAUUAUAAUUUAAAGUCUAACCUGCCCAAUGAAUUAUUCAAUGGCCGCAGUAUUUUAACUGUGCGAAGGUAGCAUAAUAAUUAGUUUUUUAAUUGAGAACUGGUAUGAAUGGUUGGACGAGAAAAUAACUGUCUCAAUUUAAUUUUAAUUAGAAUUUUAUUUUUAAGUUAAAAAGCUUAAAUUUUUUUAAAAGACGAGAAGACCCUAUAGAGUUUUAUAUUAAAUUUAUGCUUUAUAUAUAAAGUAUUUUUUAUAUUUUAUAUAAAUUUAGUAUUUUAUUGGGGUGAUAUAAAAAUUAAAAAAACUUUUUAUUUUUUUUUACAUUGAUAUAUGAUUUUAUGAUCCAUUUUUUAUGAUUAAAAGAUUAAAUUACCUUAGGGAUAACAGCGUAAUUUUUUUUUAGAGUUCUUAUCGAAAAAAAAGUUUGCGACCUCGAUGUUGGAUUAAAAUAAACUUUUGGCGCAGUAGCUAUAUAGGUUGGGUCUGUUCGACCUUUAAAAUUUUACAUGAUCUGAGUUUAAACCGGUGUAAGCCAGGUUGGUUUCUAUCUUUAAAUAAUUAAGAUAUUUUAGUACGAGAGGACCAAAUAUUUAUAAAUUUUGUUUUAUUUAUUGAAUAAUAUUAAUUAUUAGG